GUGCAGCGCCCCCACAGGCCAGGAGGGGAACAGGUUGGUUUGACUCAGAGAACCACAGCAGCUGCAGGUGGAGCAGAUGGUGAAGUUUCGGUCCCAAUUGAACCAAAUCUACUGGACUAUCAGUUUUUUGUCAGAAACUCCUAUAAAACACUAAGCAGCAGAAACAAAGUCAUAUUUCACCCUAAUGUGGUUCAAAUGACAAGAAAAGCUUGAAAAAUUAAGUUAAUGUAACUUUUUAUUCCCAUGAAGACGCUAAAAAUAAAUCAAAAAUACCCAAAAACCCGACAAGUUCGGCAUUUUGGUGCAGCUGAGGACGACAACUGAGAACUUUCCAACAAAACAUCAACGGCUUGAAGCAGUUUUUUAUGCCAUUGAUUCCUGCAUGGAGUGUGUGCGCGUCAGUAAAAUGUGUGUCUGACAACAUGUGAUUUCCAUCACAGCCUUGGAGCGAAUCAGAGCGCCGCUCAAAGCCGCCUGUUGGCUGCGGCCAAAUAGUUCGGCUCAGGAAUGCAUCCGGGAGCGUUCACAUCUGCAGCAGGAACUGACAAUGUGUGUGCAACAGAGGUCCUUAUAAACCCGACUGUCCUCACAAGGACAAGAAGGCAGCAAGAAUAACUGAGGUCAUUUCAUUGGGAAAAGGCGUGUAAGGCGAUGUAAGGUAUAAACUGUAAUCGUUUUUUAUUAUUUAGCAGUUAAGAUCAGGUGUUGGGAUCAAGAACUGACAGGAAAAUGUGGUGAUUAGGAAGGAUUGCUAUACUUAAAACAUGUUAAAACAUGUUACAGGAACAUAAUUGGAGUGACUAAUGAUAAUAAAACACAGACAUAUUCAAUUAAAAACAUAAAUACAUCAUUUGGUUAGAGCUGUUGAUCCAUACAAAGCAAUGGUGUCUCCAACUUAGAGCCAAAGAAAUAAUUAAAGCUAAUCCUACAAGAACAGCCAAGGUCUCUUUGGGAUUUUGUUUAUUAGUCAACAUGUUGAUAAAAUGUUAUUUUUAUUUAUUUUAGCAGGAUGAAGAUGAAUGAAUGUUUUUAUUUUUUCUUAAUGGUGAUUUACAACACAAUAAUAACUAAUUUUUUAUGUGUACAAUUCAUGAUUAGUAAAUUUUGAGUGUUGAAUCUUCAUCUAGGAUUCUUGUUAGCUUAGCAGUUUAAUGCUAAGGUAACAUGGCGUUAGCUUAGCAUCACCUAAUGUGUGGCACCAAACACACAACAACCAGACAUCUAAAUUAGAGAUGAACUAAUACCUGAAAAACAAACUAAAAUGUCAUUAGGAGGUUUUUCUGUUCACCAAACUCAACAGUUUCAACGAUUUUCAGACAAAAUACAAUCUAUUUAAUAUUCACAGGCUGAAAGUAAAUCCAGACUAGCUUGGGUCUUUCUGCAAACACAAAGAACGGCAUGAGCUAUGCUAUGCUAACUGCAGUUUCAAAUCGUUUUACUGAACAAAGUGCAAAAGUUAAUCGUCACUUGUUAGUCCAACACAACAUUUUAGGGGUAAAAUAUAACAUAAUUCUUUGCUAAGCUAACAGAGGACACUCAGGCUUAGCUAACAUGGUAAAAAAGUUAGCCUAGAAUUAGCAAAGCUAGCAUAAUAUAUCCAAACCACAGAGUUACCACAGCACUCAGAUUGUACAGAUAAAUUUCUAACUUAUCUGUAGAUAUUAUGUAACAUAAUUUGGAACAGAAAUAACUGUUGUUUGAAAUAGUUUCAGCUAACAUAGCACAAAAGCUAACAAGACGUAACCAGAACAAAAUGUUAAAAUUUAGCACCAUUCGGGUCAAAGCUAGCUGCAGUUUGAUACAUUUUUGGUAACAAGCUGUAACCAUGACUACCAUUACAGCAUCAGACCAACACAACAUUUUAGAGAGAACAUUACAUAACUUUGCUAAGCUAACAAACAGCUCAGAUUCAGCUAGCAUGGCCCAAAAUUUAGCCUAACAUUAGCAAAGCUAACACGAUAUAGCCAAAGAUGAAAGCCAUAAGUCAGAAUUAGAGCUAGAAAACAAAACUAUGACAUAAUAAAGCAAAUUUAGCAGAAACUACAUAAAAUUGGAGCAUAGAUGUCUGUAAUUACAAAAUAAAUUAAUAUACAGAAUAUAACUAAAGCAAUAUAAAAUGAAUUUAUGUCCAGUUUUGUGCUAAAAACAACUUUUAUGAAAAGAGCCUCUGCAGAGAGAGCACACAUACACAAAUUAUUCACUCCAACACACACAAACGGAUGCCUUGUAAUUCAAUUAGCCAGCUUCCCAUCUGACACAAAAUGGCGGCUGUGGCGUAGCAGUGUGGGACAUUUUGGGGAUGAAGCCAAGAAAACUGCUGAGCGCCUAACACGAGCGAACGACACGUCAAUCUACGGAAACGUUUCCGACAUUUCUCCAUUAUUUCUGCUGCUUCCUUCACGUGUUAAAUGACCAACAUGAAUUUAUACGUUUAGAUGAAUUUCAGGAGCUUUUUUAUGAGAAAUGAUUCAGUGAAGCAUCCAGAAAACAGAGCAGAAAACACAGCUGUCCGGCUGUGUGUGUGUGUGUGUGAGAAGCAUGAGGUCAUUCCUGGCUGAACUCUCUUUGGGGCUCUUCUGUAUAAACAUUAACGCGGCCGCAGCUUUCACACCAAAUCCAAGUUUGUCUGAAAUCAGAAAUCUGCUGAAAAACAUUUGAUUUAAAAGCUAAAGCUGCAAAGAAAUCAGCAGCAGCAGAAACCAGAGGACCUAAUUCACACGUAUGAGAAGUAGAGUCAAUAAUUAAUGCUAAAUAUGUGCAGUAAUGUUUAUUCUGUAGGGAACAGUUUUUGUGCUGUCUGCAGGCGGGUCCGCUCCUCUUUUCUCAUGCCAUCCCGUGCCAAGGCCGGCUGCGGCGCUGCUAAUUUCAGCUGCAUGCUAACACACAAACAUGCGUCAUUUCAGCACCACUUCACUCUGGAGGAGCCGAGGUCAUUCUGCAGCGGACGGAGCAGUUCAGAGAGAAAUCUGUGUUUCUUUCUGCAGCAGCAUCAAACUGAACUGGAAUCGUUCAGACCAACGGGCAGAAAUAACAGGAUGCCAGAUGAUUCAGGCAACAAUAAGCUGCUCUAAAUUCCUCUUCCUGUUUCUGCACAACAAUCCGGCGCGCAGUGGAAGAACGGACCUCAGAUCCAACCGGCUCCGCUGGGAGUCAGGAGGAAAACCCAAACUGCAGCUCAGACUGGAAACGUCUCUUCAGACUCAGCUGCUGUCCCAGGGGCGGCCUGCGGGGGGCAGUGUGGCUCACCGAACCGCAGCUCUGCCCCCGGUCCUGAUCCGCCCACGGCCCACCGGGGACCGCCGGCUCUCCUACUGCGCCUUCUGCAAGACCCGGCUUAAUUUAAUUAACGCUGUCAACUUUAAACAAAACCACAUCUGAGGCGCGGAGGGAGGGGGCGCCGGCGAGGCAGGAAGUAGCCGCUCAGAGACGGGCGGCGGCGGAUCGCCGAGGACGGCCGCUCUGGGUCAGACGGAAACGUUUCCUCCAGAACAGAAAGGAAACAAAAACAAAAAGAUUACAGAGUCCACAGUACAUAACCUGCUGAAAUUAAAACGCUUAUUUAUUUUGGUACAAAAACAAACAAAAAAUUUACUUAAGAACUAUUGUUGUAGAGGUGUUCAAAAUGAGGCGCACGGGCCAUUUGUGACCCUCAGAGUGAUUUUGUUUGGCCCCCAAAUGCAACUCAAGUAAACUUUUAAUUUUUAA
Xiphophorus hellerii (green swordtail) is the source of this 3705-nucleotide long non-coding RNA. RefSeq lists it as uncharacterized. The record is from RefSeq and is a predicted model, not a curated record. Lineage: Eukaryota; Metazoa; Chordata; Actinopteri; Cyprinodontiformes; Poeciliidae. The transcript is spliced from 2 exons.